CAGUCGCCGCGGGAAUACGAAGGGUGCAAGCGUUACUCGGAAUUACUGGGCGUAAAGCGUGCGUAGGUGGUGGUUUAAGUCCGUUGUGAAAGCCCUGGGCUCAACCUGGGAAUUGCAGUGGAUACUGGGUCACUAGAGUGUGGUAGAGGAUAGUGGAAUUUCCGGUGUAGCAGUGAAAUGCGUAGAGAUCGGAAGGAACAUCUGUGGCGAAGGCGACUAUCUGGGCCAACACUGACACUGAGGCACGAAAGCGUGGGGAGCAAACAGGAUUAGAGACCCCCGUAGUCCCUGUCUCUUAUAA
This 301-nucleotide ribosomal RNA is filed under the name uncultured bacterium. RNAcentral describes it as "partial 16S ribosomal RNA". It matches the Rfam family "Bacterial small subunit ribosomal RNA", at positions 509 to 809 of the family's 1533-position model. The record is from RNAcentral.